Molecule: non-coding RNA, 342 nt
Organism: Pogona vitticeps (central bearded dragon)
Lineage: Eukaryota; Metazoa; Chordata; Lepidosauria; Squamata; Agamidae
Source: RefSeq, a predicted model, not a curated record
CCUGUUGCUUUCUACAGGCCAGACAUCUGCAGCAAAUAACAUACAGCUCCUAGUGAAUAUUUUUGCAUUUGGUUGGAUUUGUUUUUGUUUUCAUUUUUCUUAAUCUUUUCAAAAUGGGAGCUUGUAUAAGCGGGAAGCCUGGUAUCUAAGCUGUGGCAUCUAGUAAUAGAUUGCCUUGAAACCACCCAAACUGAUGUGGAAGCCUGGGACAAGAUGACUACAUGCAGGAGCUUCUGCACUCUUGGAAGUCGUGGAAUUUGUUCCUGAGAAACAAGACUCAUUUAUUUAUAUAAAGCACUUUAGUCAAUGUUCUAUAAAUUGCAAGAAACAAUUCAAAAUGAA